RNAcentral lists this ribosomal RNA (498 nucleotides) under uncultured bacterium. Its description in RNAcentral is "partial 16S ribosomal RNA". It matches the Rfam family "Bacterial small subunit ribosomal RNA", at positions 30 to 523 of the family's 1533-position model. The record is from RNAcentral.
AUUGAACGCUGGCGGCAUGCCUUACACAUGCAAGUCGAACGGCAGCGCGGGGCAACCUGGCGGCGAGUGGCGAACGGGUGAGUAAUAUAUCGGAACGUACCCAAGAGUGGGGGAUAACGUAGCGAAAGUUACGCUAAUACCGCGUACGAUCUAUGGAUGAAAGCAGGGGAUCUUCGGACCUUGUGCUCCUGGAGCGGCCGAUAUCUGAUUAACUAGUUGGUGAGGUAAAGGCUCACCAAGGCGACGAUCAGUAGCUGGUCUGAGAGGACGACCAGCCACACUGGAACUGAGACACGGUCCAGACUCCUACGGGAGGCAGCAGUGGGGAAUUUUGGACAAUGGGCGCAAGCCUGAUCCAGCAAUGCCGCGUGAGUGAAGAAGGCCUUCGGGUUGUAAAGCUCUUUUGUCAGGGAAGAAACGGCUGAGGCUAAUAUCCUCGGCUAAUGACGGUACCUGAAGAAUAAGCACCGGCUAACUACGUGCCAGCAGCCGCAGUAA